Molecule: ribosomal RNA, 115 nt
Filed under: Sinocyclocheilus anshuiensis
Lineage: Eukaryota; Metazoa; Chordata; Actinopteri; Cypriniformes; Cyprinidae
Source: RNAcentral
UUCCACAGCUAUAUCACCCUGCAGCCCAAGACUGGUCGCCCACUGAAGCUAAGCAGGGUUGAGCCUGGUCAGUACCUGGAUGGGAGACCUCCUGGUUACAGCUAUAGUGUGUUCU